Papaver somniferum (opium poppy) is the source of this 1913-nucleotide RNA transcript. It is a transcript of the gene named ribosome biogenesis protein BMS1 homolog, with no coding region annotated. The transcript has 8 exons. The record is from RefSeq and is a predicted model, not a curated record. NCBI's taxonomy places the organism in Eukaryota, Viridiplantae, Streptophyta, Magnoliopsida, Ranunculales, Papaveraceae.
UGAAGAAGCGAUGAGUUGGAACCAAUUACUGUACUGGAAUUGGGUUCCAAUAUAAUAACCCUCGCUUCUGAUACCAGAGAGAGAGAGAGAGAAGGAUAACCGACGUUCAAUUAGACAUGAAAACUAAUUGAAGAGGAAGUGGGAUGACCGAUGACGACGACGACAGCACCGGCGACGAGAAGAAAAUGCCGAACGAGGAAUCCGCUCCAUAUGUUGUUGUAGUUGUUGGAAAAUCCUCGUUGAUCAAGUCUUUAGUGAAACAUUAUACCCGUAAAACUCUUACCGACAUCACAAACCCCAUUACGAUUUUAUCAGGAAACUUUCAAGUUCCUUAACCUGUUAAAAGUUCACGGAAUGCGUAAGGUGAUGGGGGUGCUUACAUAUCUUGAUAACUUUAAUAAUGUUGAUCACCUAAAAAAAGCAAAGAAUGUUCUGUUUAUGCGAUCUCGAUCACGGGAUGUAUUCAAAGGAUGAAAUUCGCGAAUUGGCGAGCUUCAUAUCGCUUAUGGAAGCUGCACAUCCUUAUGUGCUUUUAGAUCAUUUUGAAGAUGUCACUGCUCCAGAGGAAGUGCGCAUGCAUAAUGAGUGCACUAGAGAUGUAAUCUUGUAUGGGUAGUGACAUCCAGAAAGGAACUAAGUUGAUUUCGAUGUCUAUCUUGGUAAUGAUAGUAUACCCAUAUCUGACUAUUAUAACAUGCUCCUGAAUCACAUUUUUCACACGCUUUUGCACGGUGCAUAUUGCGGGUAUUGGUGAUUUCCAUUCAGCUUGUAUUACAAGUGUCGCUGAUCCUUUCCCUUUACCGCCUGUUGAUGGCCAUAAUCUGGAGGUUGAUCUUGAUGAGAUAACCUAUUUGGAGAUCGGGAGUAUUAAACCGGGGACUUAUCUAAUGUUUGAAAUCCGUGGCAUUACUUUUGAAGUCGUCCUCCUUGUCAGCCUAUUCUUGUUGGAGGUAUUGCUCCCGAAGAAGAAAAUGCUGGAUAUAUGCAGGCGGAACUUAAGCAACGUAGCCGGCCCACAAAAUCAUUGAAGACAAAUAAUCCAAUUAUGGUUUCGGUUGGUUGGAGAAGGUACCAGACAACACCUAUCUAUGCCAGGGAAGACCGCCAUGGAAUGUAUCGAAUGCUCGAACACACUCCUGAAGACGUUCCUUGUCUUGCAGUAUUUUGGGGCCCUCUUGCACCUCCCAACACUAGAGUUGUUGCUGUGCAGAGUCUGGCAGACCACGAGUCAGCAUUUCGGAUUUUAGCAACUGGGGUUGUACUCAAUAACCAUGCUGCAAAGAUAGUGAAGAAAAGCAAGCGGAUUGGAACUCCUUGUAAGAUCUUCAAUGAUUUUGCCCUUACCAAUGACAUGUUUACAUCAGAUGAUGAAAUUGAUCAGUUUAAAGAUGCAAAGAUUGAGACUGAGAGCGGAAUUGGUGGAAGCUGAAUACGGGGAAAUUGGAGAUGCUACUUCUGAAGUUCUUUGGGUUCAUCUUUGCUUACUGAACUUAAUUUCUGUUCUUCUUCUCCUCCGGCUCUGUGGUGUGACAACUUAGGGGCUACUUUUCCAAGAACCCGAUUUUUCAUCAUCGCAUGAAGCAUAUUGAGAUUGCAUUUAUUUUGUGAGGGCCCUUGUAGCUGCUGGGAAACUGUUUGUGAAGUUCAUUUCUACUGAUAAUCAAAUUGCAGAUGCUCUUACCAAGCCAUUGUCUACUGUUAGAUUUGCUUUCUUAUGCAACAAGCUCAGUGUCACUGCUUCUGCAGUCCCCCUGGACUUGGGUGGGUGAAUGAAUGUAAUAAGGGUGUGGGUGAAUGAAUGUAAUAAGGGUGUAACAAACCUCAACUGCUAUCUUUUAUUUACUUUUGUUUUCAGAUGAGUCAAAGUCAGUCAAUCUGUUGACUUGAUUAUAUAUACUUACCCUUUCUCUGUG